GGCGGCAGGGCUAACACAUGCAAGUCGAGCGGCAGCGGGGGGAAGCUUGCUUCCCCGCCGGCGAGCGGCGGACGGGUGAGUAAUGUCUGGGGAUCUGCCUGAUGGAGGGGGAUAACUACUGGAAACGGUAGCUAAUACCGCAUAACGUCGCAAGACCAAAGUGGGGGACCUUCGGGCCUCACGCCAUCGGAUGAACCCAGAUGGGAUUAGCUAGUAGGUGAGGUAACGGCUCACCUAGGCGACGAUCCCUAGCUGGUCUGAGAGGAUGACCAGCCACACUGGAACUGAGACACGGUCCAGACUCCUACGGGAGGCAGCAGUGGGGAAUAUUGCACAAUGGGGGAAACCCUGAUGCAGCCAUGCCGCGUGUGUGAAGAAGGCCUUCGGGUUGUAAAGCACUUUCAGCGGGGAGGAAGGGGACAAGGUUAAUAACCUUGUUCAUUGACGUUACCCGCAGAAGAAGCACCGGCUAACUCCGUGCCAGCAGCCGCGGUAAUACGGAGGGUGCAAGCGUUAAUCGGAAUGACUGGGCGUAAAGCGCACGCAGGCGGUCUGUUAAGUUGGAUGUGAAAUCCCCGGGCUUAACCUGGGAACUGCAUUCAAAACUGACAGGCUAGAGUCUCGUAGAGGGGGGUAGAAUUCCAGGUGUAGCGGUGAAAUGCGUAGAGAUCUGGAGGAAUACCGGUGGCGAAGGCGGCCCCCUGGACGAAGACUGACGCUCAGGUGCGAAAGCGUGGGGAGCAAACAGGAUUAGAUACCCUGGUAGUCCACGCUGUAAACGAUGUCGAUUUGGAGGUUGUGCCCUUGAGGCGUGGCUUCCGGAGCUAACGCGUUAAAUCGACCGCCUGGGGAGUACGGCCGCAAGGUUAAAACUCAAAUGAAUUGACGGGGGCCCGCACAAGCGGUGGAGCAUGUGGUUUAAUUCGAUGCAACGCGAAGAACCUUACCUACUCUUGACAUCCAGCGAACCCUGUAGAGAUGCGGGGGUGCCUUCGGGAACGCUGAGACAGGUGCUGCAUGGCUGUCGUCAGCUCGUGUUGUGAAAUGUUGGGUUAAGUCCCGCAACGAGCGCAACCCUUAUCCUCUGUUGCCAGCACUUCGGGUGGGAACUCAGGGGAGACUGCCGGUGAUAAACCGGAGGAAGGUGGGGAUGACGUCAAGUCAUCAUGGCCCUUACGAGUAGGGCUACACACGUGCUACAAUGGCGCAUACAAAGAGAAGCGACCUCGCGAGAGCAAGCGGACCUCAUAAAGUGCGUCGUAGUCCGGAUUGGAGUCUGCAACUCGACUCCAUGAAGUCGGAAUCGCUAGUAAUCGUAGAUCAGAAUGCUACGGUGAAUACGUUCCCGGGCCUUGUACCCACCGCCCGUCACACCAUGGGAGUGGGUUGCAAAAGAAGUAGGCUGCUUAACCU
Molecule: ribosomal RNA, 1413 nt
Filed under: Dickeya dadantii
Lineage: Bacteria; Pseudomonadati; Pseudomonadota; Gammaproteobacteria; Enterobacterales; Pectobacteriaceae
Description: bacterial SSU rRNA
Rfam family: Bacterial small subunit ribosomal RNA
Source: RNAcentral